UACAUACUCCCUCCGUUCGGAAUUACUCGUCCAAAAAAUGAAUGUAUCUAGAUGUAUUUUAGUUGUAGAUACAUCCAUUUUUGUGACAAGUAAUUCCGAACGGAGGCAGUACUAC
This is a non-coding RNA of Triticum aestivum (bread wheat), 115 nucleotides long. Lineage: Eukaryota; Viridiplantae; Streptophyta; Magnoliopsida; Poales; Poaceae. The record is from Rfam.